UGUCCAGACUCCUACGGGAGGCAGCAGUGGGGAAUAUUGCACAAUGGGGGGAACCCUGAUGCAGCGACGCCGCGUGGGUGAAGGAGUCAUUCGUGCCGUAAAGCCCUAUCAGCAGGGAAGAAAAUGACGGUACCUGACUAAGAAGCCCCGGCUAACUACGUGCCAGCAGCCGCGGUAAUACGUAGGGGGCAAGCGUUAUCCGGAUUUAUUGGGUUUAAAGGGUGCGUAGGCGGAAUGCCAAGUCAGCGGUAAAAUCGCGGGGCUCAACCUCGCUCCGCCGUUGAAACUGGCGUUCUUGAGUGGGCGAGAAGUAUGCGGAAUGCGUGGUGUAGCGGUGAAAUGCAUAGAUAUCGCGCAGAACUCCGAUUGCGAAGGCAGCGUACCGGCGCCGGACUGACGCUGAGGCACGAAAGCGUGGGUAUCGAACAGGAUUAGAUACCCGGGUAGA
RNAcentral lists this ribosomal RNA (448 nucleotides) under uncultured bacterium. RNAcentral describes it as "partial 16S ribosomal RNA". It matches the Rfam family "Bacterial small subunit ribosomal RNA", at positions 328 to 794 of the family's 1533-position model. The record is from RNAcentral.